Molecule: antisense RNA, 69 nt
Filed under: Actinosynnema mirum DSM 43827
Lineage: Bacteria; Bacillati; Actinomycetota; Actinomycetes; Pseudonocardiales; Pseudonocardiaceae
Description: ASpks TB sRNA
Rfam family: ASpks TB sRNA
Source: Rfam by way of RNAcentral
CUUGACCGAGCCCAGCCACAGCGGCUCGACGCGGUCCUGCCCGUAGGUGGCGAUGAGCGCCUGCGCCUC